This 425-nucleotide ribosomal RNA is filed under the name uncultured bacterium. RNAcentral's name for it is "partial 16S ribosomal RNA". It matches the Rfam family "Bacterial small subunit ribosomal RNA", at positions 354 to 796 of the family's 1533-position model. The record is from RNAcentral.
GUGGGGAAUCUUAGACAAUGGGCACAAGCCUGAUCUAGCCAUGCCGCGUGAUCGAUGAAGGCCUUAGGGUUGUAAAGAUCUUUCAGUGGGGAAGAUAAUGACUGUACCCACAGAAGAAGCCCCGGCUAACUCCGUGCCAGCAGCCGCGGUAAUACGGAGGGGGCUAGCGUUGUUCGGAAUUACUGGGCGUAAAGCGCACGUAGGCGGAACAGAAAGUCAGAGGUGAAAUCCCAGGGCUCAACCUUGGAACUGCCUUUGAAACUCCUGUUCUUGAGUUCGAGAGAGGUGAGUGGAAUUCCGAGUGUAGAGGUGAAAUUCGUAGAUAUUCGGAGGAACACCAGUGGCGAAGGCGGCUCACUGGCUCGAUACUGACGCUGAGGUGCGAAAGCGUGGGGAGCAAACAGGAUUAGAAACCCCUGUAGUCC